GACGAACGCUGGCGGCGUGCCUAAUACAUGCAAGUAGAACGCACAGUUUAUACCGUAGCUUGCUACACCAUAGACUGUGAGUUGCGAACGGGUGAGUAACGCGUAGGUAACCUGCCUGGUAGCGGGGGAUAACUAUUGGAAACGAUAGCUAAUACCGCAUAAUAUUAAUUAUUGCAUGAUAAUUAAUUGAAAGGUGCAAUUGCACCACUACCAGAUGGACCUGCGUUGUAUUAGCUAGUAGGUGAGGUAACGGCUCACCUAGGCGACGAUACAUAGCCGACCUGAGAGGGGGAGCGGCCACACUGGGACUGGGACACGGCCCAGACUCCUACGGGAGGCAGCAGUAGGGAAUCUUCGGCAAUGGACGAAAGUCUGACCGAGCAACGCCGCGUGAGUGAAGAAGGUUGUCGGAUCGUAAAGCUCUGUUGUAAGAGAAGAACGGGUGUGAGAGUGGAAAGUUCACACUGUGACGGUAGCUGACCAGAAAGGGACGGCUAACUACGUG
This 505-nucleotide ribosomal RNA is filed under the name uncultured bacterium. Its description in RNAcentral is "partial 16S ribosomal RNA". It matches the Rfam family "Bacterial small subunit ribosomal RNA", at positions 28 to 507 of the family's 1533-position model. The record is from RNAcentral.